UACGUAGGGCGCAAGCGUUGUCCGGAAUUAUUGGGCGUAAAGAGCUCGUAGGCGGUUUGUCGCGUCUGCUGUGAAAACUCGAGGCUCAACCUCGGGCUUGCAGUGGGUACGGGCAGACUAGAGUGCGGUAGGGGUGACUGGAAUUCCUGGUGUAGCGGUGGAAUGCGCAGAUAUCAGGAGGAACACCGGUGGCGAAGGCGGCAUCCUGGACCGACACUGACACUGAGGAGCGAAAGCCAGGGGAGCAAACGGG
RNAcentral lists this ribosomal RNA (253 nucleotides) under uncultured bacterium. Its description in RNAcentral is "partial 16S ribosomal RNA". It matches the Rfam family "Bacterial small subunit ribosomal RNA", at positions 524 to 776 of the family's 1533-position model. The record is from RNAcentral.